This 536-nucleotide ribosomal RNA is filed under the name uncultured bacterium. Its description in RNAcentral is "bacterial SSU rRNA". It matches the Rfam family "Bacterial small subunit ribosomal RNA", at positions 28 to 513 of the family's 1533-position model. The record is from RNAcentral.
GACGAACGCUGGCGGCGUGCCUAACACAUGCAAGUCGAGCGGGGUUGAAGCGAGGGGUAACUCGAGUUUCUACCUAGCGGCGGACGGGUGAGUAACGCGUGGGCAACCUGCCUCAAGGACUGGGAUAACAGCUCGAAAGGGCUGCUAAUACCGGAUAAGCCUAUGGCCUCGCAUGGGGCCAUGAGCAAAGGGGAAACCCGCCUUGAGAUGGGCCCGCGUCCCAUCAGCUAGUUGGUGAGGUGAAGGCUCACCAAGGCGACGACGGGUAGCCGGCCUGAGAGGGUGACCGGCCACACUGGGACUGAGACACGGCCCAGACUCCUACGGGGGGCAGCAGUGGGGAAUCUUGCACAAUGGGCGAAAGCCUGAUGCAGCGACGCCGCGUGAGCGAAGAAGGGCCCUUCGGGUUGUAAGGUACUCUCGUCGUGGAGGGACGGAAGGAAGGUAGGACGGGUAACCCGUCCCGGACGGGAAGGACCCACGGCCGUAACCUAACCGUUCGCCGACGCAGACCGCCGGUAAACCGUAAGACGUCG